AGAGUUUGAUCAUGGCUCAGAUUGAACGCUGGCGGCGUGCUUAACACAUGCAAGUCGAGCGGUAAACGCGGGAGCAAUCCUGGCGACGAGCGGCGAACGGGUGAGUAAUGCUUUCGGAAUCUACCCAGUAGUGGGGAAUAACCAACCGAAAGGUUGGCUAAUACCGCAUACGUCCUGAGGGAGAAAGCGGGGGAUCGUAAGGACCUUGCGCUUAUUGGAUGAGCCGAAGUCGGAUUAGCUAGUUGGUAGGGUAACGGCCUACCAAGGCGACAAUCCGUAGCUGGUCUGAGAGGACGACCAGCCACACUGGGACUGAGACACGGCCCAGACUCCUACGGGAGGCAGCAGUGGGGAAUAUUGGACAAUGGGGGCAACCCUGAUCCAGCGACGCCGCGUGUGUGAAGAAGGCCUGCGGGUUGUAAAGCACUUUUUAGUGGGGAUGAAAAGCUCAGGGCUAAUACCGCUGAGUCUUGACCUAACCCACAGAAAAAGCACCGGCUAACUCUGUGCCAGCAGCCGCGGUAAUACAGAGGGUGCGAGCGUUAAUCGGAAUUACUGGGCGUAAAGCGUGCGUAGACGGUUUUGUAAGUCGGAUGUGAAAUCCCCGGGCUCAACCUGGGAAUUGCAUUCGAGACUGCAAAGGCUUGGGUGCGGAAGAGGAAAGCGGAAUUUUCCGGUGUAGCGGUGAAAUGCGUAGAUAUCGGAAGGAACAUCAGUGGCGAAAGCGGCUUCCUGGUCCAGCACCGACGUUCAGGCACGAAAAGCGUGGGGAGCAAACAGGAUUAGAUACCCUCGUAGUCC
Molecule: ribosomal RNA, 801 nt
Filed under: uncultured bacterium
Lineage: Bacteria
Description: bacterial SSU rRNA
Rfam family: Bacterial small subunit ribosomal RNA
Source: RNAcentral